Molecule: small nuclear RNA, 92 nt
Filed under: Oryctolagus cuniculus (rabbit)
Lineage: Eukaryota; Metazoa; Chordata; Mammalia; Lagomorpha; Leporidae
Description: 7SK RNA
Rfam family: 7SK RNA
About the family: 7SK was discovered as an abundant small nuclear RNA in the mid-70s but a possible function has only recently been suggested. Two independent studies have found that 7SK RNA binds the CDK9/cyclin T complex (known as elongation factor P-TEFb).
Source: Rfam by way of RNAcentral
GGGGGAAUCCAGCUGCGACAUCUGCCACCCCGUUGAUUGCCAGGAGUGAUUUGGCUGAUCUGGCUGGCUAGGUGGGUGUCCCUUCCUUCCUC